RNAcentral lists this ribosomal RNA (237 nucleotides) under uncultured bacterium. Its description in RNAcentral is "partial 16S ribosomal RNA". It matches the Rfam family "Bacterial small subunit ribosomal RNA", at positions 99 to 334 of the family's 1533-position model. The record is from RNAcentral.
CGAACGGGUGAGUAACGCGUGAGGAACCUGCCUCAAAGAGGGGGACAACAGUUGGAAACGACUGCUAAUACCGCAUAAGCCCACGGCUCGGCAUCGAGCAGAGGGAAAAGGAGUGAUCCGCUUUGAGAUGGCCUCGCGUCCGGUUAGCUAGUUGGUGAGGUAACGGCCCACCAAGGCAACGAUCGGUAGCCGGACUGAGAGGUUGAACGGCCACAUUGGGACUGAGACACGGCCCAG